Molecule: ribosomal RNA, 445 nt
Filed under: uncultured bacterium
Lineage: Bacteria
Description: SSU rRNA
Rfam family: Bacterial small subunit ribosomal RNA
Source: RNAcentral
AGGAUGAACGCUGGCGGCGUGCCUAAGACAUGCAAGUCGAGUGGGUUUAGACCCACGGCGAACGGGUGAGUAAUACAUAGGAAUUUUCCUUAAGUUAAGAAUACCCUUCCGAAAGGAAGUACAAUACUUAAUGUGAUCGCAAGAUUAAAGCCGCAAGGCGCUUAAGGUGAAGCCUGUGCACUAUCAGCUAGUUGGUAAGGUAAUGGCUUACCAAGGCUAUGACAGUUAGCGGGCCCGAGAGGGUGAUCCGCCACACUGGGACUGCGACACGGCCCCAGACUCCUACGGGAGGCAGCAGUUUGGAAUUUUGGUCAAUGGGGGAAACCCUGAACCAGCGACGCCGCGUGGACGAUGAAGGUCUUCGGAUCGUAAAGUCCUUUUGGCAGGGAAAAUCUUUGAUUGUACCUGCAGAAUAAGAGGUUGCUAACUCUGCGCCAGCAGCCGC